RNAcentral lists this ribosomal RNA (460 nucleotides) under uncultured bacterium. RNAcentral's name for it is "partial 16S ribosomal RNA". It matches the Rfam family "Bacterial small subunit ribosomal RNA", at positions 338 to 795 of the family's 1533-position model. The record is from RNAcentral.
CCUACGGGUGGCAGCAGUGAGGAAUAUUGGUCAAUGGACGAGAGUCUGAACCAGCCAAGUAGCGUGAAGGAUGACUGCCCUAUGGGUUGUAAACUUCUUUUAUAUGGGAAUAAAAUGUUCCACGUGUGGGAGUUUGUAUGUACCAUAUGAAUAAGGAUCGGCUAACUCCGUGCCAGCAGCCGCGGUAAUACGGAGGAUCCGAGCGUUAUCCGGAUUUAUUGGGUUUAAAGGGUGCGUAGGGGGAUUGUUAAGUCAGUUGUGAAAGUUUGCGGCUCAACCGUAAAAUUGCAGUUGAAACUGGCAGUCUUGAGUACAGUAGAGGUGGGCGGAAUUCGUGGUGUAGCGGUGAAAUGCUUAGAUAGCACGAAGAACUCCGAUUGCGAAGGCAGCUCACUGGACUGCAACUGACACUGAGGCUCGAAAGUGUGGGUAUCAAACAGGAUUAGAUACCCGAGUAGUC